Non-coding RNA from Dermacentor andersoni, 1004 nucleotides. Lineage: Eukaryota; Metazoa; Arthropoda; Arachnida; Ixodida; Ixodidae. The record is from RefSeq and is a predicted model, not a curated record.
CCCAAAAAUUCUGGAAAGUUAUUAACCCUAAUAACUCCCAGCCAUUAGCUCUGUUUGACGAUCAAAACCAUCGUAUUCCCGAUUGCGAAAUUGCUGAACAACUUAACCGUACUUUUUCUUCCGUCUUCACAACUGAACCUGUUAACAUAUUACCUCGCUUCCCUCUUUCGGAUCAUGCAGUCAUGCCUGAUAUUACCUUUUGUCCUUACGGCAUUGAGAAACUAAUUGAUUCAUUAAAACUUACAUCAUCGUCUGGCGUCGAUGAAAUAAAUGUUAAAAUGCUGAAAAACACCAAAACAAAUGUGAGCGCGAUGUUAUGUGCUAUUUUUCAGCAAUCAUUGUCAUCAGGAGUGGUGCCGGAAGACUGGAGAGUAGGCAAGAUUGUUCCAGUCCCCAAAAAAGACAGCCGCGCCUCAGACGGUGGCACCAAAAUGGAAGUGAUCUGUUUCAUCGUGGACGCCGUCAAAAUCGUGGCGGAUUCGGCUAAUGGUGUGUGCUCGAACAUGGUGGCAGCCACAAUAGGAGGCCUCAAAAAUGCAAAAGACCGACAUCGGAAAGGUUUGUACGACUUGGUGCAUGGAGAGCUUGCGCCAUUGUCCUUGCCAUCGCUCUGGUGGUCACCGUCAGGACACCAUGACCCGAAUCUCGAUGAGCCGGCAGCCUAAGCAAAGAGCAAGGACGGCCCUGCCACUGGUUUGUGCGGCUUGGUGCAUGGACAGCUUGCGCCAUUGUCCUUGCCAUCGCUCUGGCUGUCACCCUCAGGACACCGGCACCACGACCCGGAAUAUUUGGGCUGGCCUGCAUUAUCGACGUGCAUCUUCUGCGGGCUUUCUUUGCUGGUCCAGAAAUUAGUUAUCUACGUCAAAUGUGACGGUGGCACCAAAAGUAAGCAGAUGUGCUGAUUGGCCAACUUAUUCCAUCUGCAGUGCUUCCGUUUCCAUCUGUCCCCAAGUGUUGCGCUGUACAGCCGGCCGAUUCCUUAGCAUAUUAAAGUGUAAAGUUGA